UUUACGUCCUUCUUUGACAAGUUCUUUCCUUCCUUUUAUAGACACCUAGGAGCCAAGUAACUGCUGUUGCACAGAGCUGAAGAAGCCACAAUGAUUACCUAAAUCCCAACGUUGUUUGUUCAGACCUGUUUUGCCUGCCAUCAGGAGUGAGGAGUGAAACUUCACAUAGAAGGACAUCUUCUCUGGUUACCAAUUUGCCUUUUAUUUUUACCUAAGUGACUGUCAGUGAGGCCUCAGCAUGUGAAGUGGCACCUGCUAUAUUUUGCAGAACAGGUCUGCCUAUCAUUUUCCCCUUAUUUAUAUUGUUGGUGCCAGAAGCAUACCAGAGCUGGGAUCCUAGUUGUAGUAGGUUCUAUACAAGAACAGAAAAAGGAAAAAUCUGCCACAAGAGUUUACAGUGCAGUGGACCAGUUGACUUACAUUGGAGUACAUGCAUCAGGAUAUCCUCAAGACAAAACAUAAUUCACAGAGCAGUUGCACUACAUGAGCAAACCCUUGACACACGCCUGCUGCAUCAGGAGGCGCCCACAGCAGGCAGGAAGAUUUCAGCACGAACCAACAACCAAGCCGCGCAACGCUCCUCCGAAACACACAGGCGGCCCCCGCCC
This is a non-coding RNA of Meleagris gallopavo (turkey), 608 nucleotides long. The record is from RefSeq and is a predicted model, not a curated record. Lineage: Eukaryota; Metazoa; Chordata; Aves; Galliformes; Phasianidae.